GACGAACGCUGGCGGCGCGCCUAACACAUGCAAGUCGAACGGAGUUGUGUUGAAAGCUUGCUGGAUAUACAACUUAGUGGCGGACGGGUGAGUAACACGUGAGUAACCUGCCUCUCAGAGUGGAAUAACGUUUGGAAACGAACGCUAAUACCGCAUAACGUGAGAAGAGGGCAUCCUCUUUUUACCAAAGAUUUAUCGCUCUGAGAUGGCCUCGCGUCUGAUUAGCUAGUUGGUGGGGUAACGGCCUACCAAGGCGAUGAUCAGUAGCCGGUCUGAGAGGAUGAACGGCCACAUCGGGACUGAGACACGGCCCAG
This 315-nucleotide ribosomal RNA is filed under the name uncultured bacterium. RNAcentral's name for it is "bacterial SSU rRNA". It matches the Rfam family "Bacterial small subunit ribosomal RNA", at positions 28 to 334 of the family's 1533-position model. The record is from RNAcentral.